RNAcentral lists this non-coding RNA (21 nucleotides) under Caenorhabditis elegans. Lineage: Eukaryota; Metazoa; Nematoda; Chromadorea; Rhabditida; Rhabditidae. The record is from RNAcentral.
UUUAUUAACUUCAAGUUCAAU